GCCGGUUACCACUAUGAAUAAGCAUCGGCUAACUCCGUGCCAGCAGCCGCGGUAAUACGGAGGAUGCGAGCGUUAUCCGGAUUCAUGGUUAAAGGUGCGUAGGCGGAAGUGUAAGUCAGGGGUGAAAGUUUGCAGCUCAACUGUAAAAUUGCCUUUGAUACUGCAUUCUUGUAGUACAUUUGAGGUAGGCGGAAAGUGUUGUGUAGCGGUGAAAUGCUUAGAUAUAACACAGAACACCGAUUGCGAAGGCAGCUACUAAACUGUAACUGACGCUGAUGCACGAAAGCGUGGGGAUCGAACAGGAUUAGAUACCCCUGGUAG
RNAcentral lists this ribosomal RNA (321 nucleotides) under uncultured bacterium. Its description in RNAcentral is "bacterial SSU rRNA". It matches the Rfam family "Bacterial small subunit ribosomal RNA", at positions 471 to 793 of the family's 1533-position model. The record is from RNAcentral.